This 374-nucleotide ribosomal RNA is filed under the name bacterium. Its description in RNAcentral is "bacterial SSU rRNA". It matches the Rfam family "Bacterial small subunit ribosomal RNA", at positions 1 to 373 of the family's 1533-position model. The record is from RNAcentral.
UUUUUUGAGAGUUUGAUCCUAGCUCAGGACGAACGCUGGCGGCGUGGAUAAGGCAUGCAAGUCGUACGAUUAUAUUUUGUUAGCAAUAAUAAGAUAUGAUAGUGGCGAACGAGGUAGUAAUACGCAGGAACGUAUCUCCGAGACGAGUAUAACCCCGCGAAAGCGGGGCUAAUAGUCGAUAGUCCCUGAGAGUAAUCGAAGGGUAAAGGAGCAAUCCGCUCGGAAAUCGGCCUGCGGGCUAUCAGCUUGUUGGCAGGGUAACGGCCUACCAAGGCUAUGACGGCUAGGGGGCGUGAGAGCGUGUUCCCCACCGAUGGCACUGCGACACGGGCCAUACACCUCCGGGUGGCUGCAGUCGAGAAUUUUCCACACUG